RNA transcript from Camelus dromedarius (Arabian camel), 8590 nucleotides. RefSeq lists it as uncharacterized. The record is from RefSeq and is a predicted model, not a curated record. The transcript has 4 exons. NCBI's taxonomy places the organism in Eukaryota, Metazoa, Chordata, Mammalia, Artiodactyla, Camelidae.
ACCCGGGGACGGGGCCGUGGGGGGAAGGGAGAGUCAGCGACACGGGGACAGAAGACCAGGAGGGCACGCGUUCCCAUGGCGUGUGGGUGAGGAGCCCCCGGCAGUCCUGGCGCCAGGCCGCCCCAGCUGCCCAAAUCCCGACGCACACGAGGAACAGGCCCCAGCCAGGCCGCACGUGUGACAGGCCUGCAGGAGAUUCCACUGGGUCCCCGCCCCAGACCCAGCUCCCGCGGCUUUUCUUCCGUCUGUCCUGUCCUCAGAAGGGCUCCCCUGGGCUGCUCCGUGGUCCUGCCAGUCCUGGCUGUGAGCUGCACUAGGAGACCCUGAGGGCAGGCCUCAUCCCGGACUCUCCAGGUCCUCUCGGGCCACAGGGUCCAUUCGGGUGGUGGGCCCCGGCAUGUGCGGACUGGGACCCAGUGAUCUGAGAAGCAGGUGAUGAAUUGUUCCCAUUCCCUAAGGACUCUGGUUCAUGGAAUAACACCUGUGGGUGAAGGGGGGUGCUGGGGGUCCCUAUUUGUGGCACAGCACUAACCAGGGCAAAAGCAAAAUAGCUCCCUCUUCAAAAUUUAUAAAUUUCAAAACUUCACUGCAAACCUUUUGCAGUGAGAACAGCUACAUUUCUGCACGUCUCUCCCUGCGGCCCUGACAGGCAGGAGACGGAAGGCGUGAGCUGGCAUGGGCUGCGGGUGAGGAGAGGCUGGCGUACAGCAGCAGCCCCGUCAGGUCACAUGUGGACGCCUGGAACCGCUGGGAGGAGCCCAGCUCUUCUGGAGUGCUCUGGGGCUGCCUGCCUGACCUCUCCAAGGCCCUGGGCUCCUGGGGGCACCUGUGUUCUGCCUGGGUAGUGGGUCAGGGAGUGGUUGACCCUCCGAGAACCCAACCUGCACCCUCGUGGACGACAUGGUGAAGUAUCUCCAUGCUGAGGGUCCUUCUGUGUUUCGAUGGAGAGAGAAGAGCCCAGGGACCCAAAGGGAGGCCAUGGUCCUGCUGAAGUCUGCGGCAUCCUACACACACCGUCAGUGUGGAAGGGAAAGAGCGGGGUGGGGUCCGAACUUCUUCAAAGCCUCAUGCUUGACCUGGGCAGGUUACCUCUCCUCGGGACCUUGGCUGUCACAUCUGCAAACAGAGCAGCGUCUGCCUCUUCCCCGGUGUCGCGAUGACCCAGAAGCCUGGGGAUUUGCUGGUGAACUCCAGUAGGCCCCAUUUCCCUUGUCUCUGAAGCCAUAAGCCAUUCAGUUGCCAAUUGCUCUGACCACAGAAACGAGCCGAGCUGGGAGAGCUGGUGGGCUGGGCGACGGGCUGUGCGGCGGGAGGGGAAGCUGGGUGGAGGGUGCAAACUGAAGGACACUCACCUCAUCAAAACCAGCAGGGCCCUGGGGACCUGAGUGGCCCAGGAGGGCGGAAGCAUCCCGGAGAGUGGACCACAGAAGGGACCACAGAAGGGGCGAGUCCGUGGACAGCAGGGCCAGGGAGUCAGGGGUGAGUCUGAAGUUACCUCCUCGGGAGGAUGACCAGGGUAAACCUGGAAUGGCCACUCAGCAGUGGGAUCAGCAGUCGAGACCAGCCUGUGGUGAGCUGUGGUGUGGACGGGGAGAUUUAAGAGCCUCUUUCUGGGAAGCUGUGUGAUAGAGGAUGGGGGAGGGGGUUAGGAGCCAGGACAGGCUCUUUAGGGAGGGGCUUGGGCAUGAAGGCAAAGAGCCAGCCCUGCAGGGGAGGCUGAAACCCCUGUUGUGGCCCCAUCUCGGUCCUAAAAGAUCCUGGGUCAGGCGAAGGGAUGGGCUGGGAGUCGGUUGGGGACCGCUCCCCACUGCAGCUGGAGAGGAAGACAGUAGUCACUGGGUGGGUUACUGCUGAGGCUGAGGGUCCUGAGUGGGUGGGGAAGUCAAGGGCUGUCCCCAGUGGUCUAGAGCUGGCCUGGAGUGGUGAAGGCAGGGCUCAGCGCCCUGAGUGUGGGUGCCCCACAGAGGAGAGGGCUGGGCUAUGGGCUCCGGACUGGCUGGUCUGCAUCUGGAAGGUGCGCUCCCGGAGGAGUAACCCUAAGAGCAGUCCCUCCAGCGUCAGCAAGGCCCCAAGAUGUCAGUGAGUCAGGAAAUACAGAAAAUAAAAAAACAUAGUCAAUACAGAACACACAGAUGCUUUGCAAUUUCAAGCAUUGUUUUUUCACCAAUAGUUAUUCUUUCAUUUAUUUAGGUCUUCUUUUUAAUUCUUUGAUAGUGUUUAAAAUUUUUUUCUACAUAAAGAUUUCACAUUUUACUAGAUUGAUUCCUGGAUGUGUUGUAAUUUUGCAGUGGUAAAAUAAAGGAAUCUAUUUAAAAAUUUAAAAAAUUUUUAUUGAAGUGUAGUUGAUUUAUACUGUUAGAUUCAGAUGUACAGCAAAAAGAUCCAGUUAUACAUAUAUAUAUAUAUAUAAUUGUUUUUCUUUUCAGAUUCUUUUCCAUUAUAUGUUAUUACAAGAAAUUGAAUACUGUUCCCUGUGCUCUACAGCAGAUCCUUGCUGUCUAUUUAUUUUAUGUAGAGUAGUGUGUAUCCGUUAAUCCCAAACGCCUGUUUUAUCCCUCUCCCAACCUUUCCCCCAAGGAAUUUUUUUAAAGUCACUCUUUCUAAUUGUUUGUGGCGCAUGUUAGACGGCGGGGAGGAGGGGCCCUGGAGGAUGCUCCGGCCCCAGGGGGACACGGCCCCAGGAUGAUGCAGCUGAGUGUCGGACCCCAGCACGUGCAGAGAGCAAGUGUCCAGGAGAACCACAGAAUCCUGAGAAAUAAUCGAUGGUGUGGUUUCCAGUCGCUGGUGGUGGUACGGUCUGGUCUGCAUUCCAUUUCAAGCUAACGCUUGGGGGGGCCUGGAGUGAGGAUGGAGGCUGCAUGUCCGGCACCGUUUGUCAGUGUGAACAUCCUCGCCCUAUUGACUUCCCUCGACAGCUCUGUGAUGUGCACAUGUGGGUCCGUCUCUGGACCCUGCAUGCUGACACCCGUGCUGGUAUCACACCGCCCUGAUUACUGACGCUUUAGGUUAAGCCUUGAAAUCAGAUAAUGUGAAUCCUCCAAGUGUUCCUCUGCCAAAACUGCUUCGACCCACGUGGAGCCUUUCACUUCCCAUAUAAACUUCAGAAUGAAUUUGUUAGUAUCCCAGAAACACUUGUUGGGAUUUCUCAUGAGAUUGUGUUGAAUCUGCUGGUCGGUUUGGGAAGAUCAACCUCUUGGUAACGCGGUUGCCCGUCCCUGAGUGUGGUGCGCAUCGCGUUGAUCUAGGUUGUCUUCCAUUUUCUCAGCAGCAUUUUAUCAUUCUUGCUUAUCGUCUGCAGGUCUCACCUCUGCUUGUCUAAUUCUGCCCUUCAUUGUAUUAUGUUUUGAUGCUGUUGUAAAUGAGAUUGUUUCUAUUUCAGUUUCCAGAGUCUGUUGCUAGUGUCCAGAAGCACAACUGAAUUCCGUAUGUUUGCGGUGUGUGCUUCGCCCUUGCUAAGUUCAUGCAUUAAUCCUGUAGCAUGUUUGUGGAUUUCUUAGGACUCUCCCGACUCACAGCCACGCUACCCGGGGAGGAAGAUGGUUUUAUUUUUUCCUCCUCAUCCCGUGUGCCUUCAUGGCUGUUAUCUCCUUGCACUGACUGACACCCGCUGCCCAGUGCUGAUCAGGGUGGUGCCUCGUUACCAAUUUUAGGGGAAAACAUUCAGUCUGGACGUUAGCUGUGCAUUUUCAGAGGCACAUUUAGUAAAGUGGAGGACGUUGCCUUCUGUUCCCGGUUUGCUGAGAGUUCUCGUCAUCCUGUCAAAGCUCUGUUGUAUAGUUCUUCUCCUUCAUUCAGUUAAUAUGUUGGAUUAAAUUGGUUGAUGUUCCAAUCUUAAACCAACCUUGUUUUUCUGGAUAAGCCCCAACUUGAUCACAUAGAAUUAUAUUUGUUUUUAACUAUGUCUUUUGUGAUUGUUUUUAAAGCUAUCAUUUAAAAAUGAAUCAUGUUUUUUUGUGUCAUAUCUCAAGAAUCCUGCUUAACCCAAGGUCACAAAUACUUUCACCUAUUCUCUUCAAAAAGUUUUAUAAUUUUAUAUUGUACAUUUAAGUAUGUAAUCCUUCCUGAGCUACUUUUAUAUGAUAUUAUACAUACACACAGAAGGGUUUUACAAUUUUUUGCGCAUGGCAUCUGUGGUUCCGUACCGUUUAUUGUAAGCACUACCGUUUCCCCACGGAACUGCAUGUGCACCUUUGUCAGGAGCCAGCUGACAGCAUGCAUGUGCUUCUGUUUCCGGGCAGUCUGUCCUGCCCCGUUGAUCUGUUUAUCCAUUUUAGCGCCCAGCCCGCCCCGCCUUGAUCGCGGGAGCCCUACAACACGUCUUGAGGUCGCUUAGUGCUGGUCCUCAGGCUUGGUUUUCCUUUUUGAAAGUCGGUCCAGCUGUCCCAGGUCCUUUCCAUUUCCACGUGCAUCUUAGCAUCAGCCGUGACUUUCCACAGAAAACCCUUCUGCCAUUCUGAGUGGGACUGUGUUGCUCUGGAUUUCGAAUCACUUUGGGAGAAGCGACAUCUUAGCAACCUCGAGUCUUGUGGUCCGUCAGCGUGCAUGUGUCGCAGCUUGUUAAGGUUUUCUUCGCUUUCCCUCGGCUCAGGGUGGAAAUCUUGAACGCCUUCUGUCGGGUUUAUCACAGCGCAUUGAGUUUCUGGUGCUGCUGCACGUGACACUUGAGAUGUCCGUUCUGAUUGUUCAUUGCUCGUGUGUAGGAGGGCAUCUCACUUCUCGUGCAGAUCUUGUGUCGUGAACUGACCAGGCUCCCUUGUGAGUUCUAGUAGCGCUCUCGUAAGCUCUGUGUCUUCUAGGCAGAAGACCGUGCUCUCUGCAAAUAAAGGCAUUUUCACUCCUCCUGUUCUCAUGUUCUGACUUGGAUCCCUUACUUCUCUUACUGGCUGGAACCCUGAGUGAGCUGUUGGACAGAAGUGGUGACAGUGGACAGCCCUGCAUUUCCCACUUGGGCAAAGCACGUUAUCCUUUUCCUUAUGCUGCUGGAGGCUGUGUGCAGACGCUUUAAAUGGCGACGUGCCUGCGUAUUCGAGCAGGCACAGCGUCCUCUCCUGCAGCGUCCACGUCUGGCUUCGGUGCCAGCGCAGCGCUGGCCUUUAGGAAGGGCUGUUUAGUUCUUCCGGAGUUUCUGGGCGAGUUUGCGUGGUGCCGGCAUCACCUCUUCCUCAAAUGUUUGGCGGGGGUUCCCGUGAAGCCACCUGGUGUCAUUUUCUUUCUGGGGCCAUUUUAAUUCAAAUUCAGAUUCUUUAAUAAUCAGAGCGUAGUGCCCGUGAGCCUUUAAUCGCCCUUUUCUUCCUCCUGGAAGGACGCAAGGCUCGUUCUGACUUAGGAGGAUCUCACCUUGAGCUUUUACCUUAAUUUCACCUGCAAAGACCCUGUUUCCAAAUAAGGUCACAUCCGCAGGUACUGGGGAGCGGGACUUGGGCAUGUCUUUUUGGGGGGGACACCGUCCAGCCCACUGCAGCCCUCACAAAUCUUGGGCAAUUUUGGCAGAAUCCAUGACUAGAUGUUAAAGAUAAAAGCCAGUGUGUGUCGGCUCCACGUGACCCCUCUGUCCACGGCAUCACUCUGUUGAGAUCAGAGCUCAGGGCUCCCUUCCUCGUGGGCUGGGGGUUACCACCUCCGUGGAAGCGGCUCAACCAAGGAGCCCUCUUCCAAAAGCAGCCUAGUGAGUCUGCAAAGGACGGCUCAGGAACCCGCACGAUUCCACCAGCUCUGGGGAGCGAGUUCGUCUGUGGGCCGGCAGCCCCUCUUGCCCUCAGGCUUUGUCUCACGGCAAGUUCCCCACCAUCCUCAUUACAUUUGCUCGACAGGCCUUUAGGGCAGUCUUCCAUACACAUCUGGCCUUAAGAUGCCCAAGCAACCAGUUUGCUGCAGACUGUCCCAGUCCUCAGCAUCUUCUCCAAAACUGCCCACGCCUGGCCGACCGAGCACCUGCGGGCAUCUGCUGUGUGUCUGGUCCUGGGAGCCCCCGGGAGGGAGGCGUCCAGCUGCAGUGCUCCCGGUGAGCCGGGGGACGGGGCUGCUGGGCCCGUGUUCUGCCCCAGGACCCCCCACCCCCGUGCAGGGAACAACUGCCAACGCAGCAGAGGUGACUGUGCAGGCGAAUGAGUUUCUAAGAUCGUGAAGUAUUCCCUGCUGUGCUUUUGUAUUCAACUCAGCACUGCUGCAGCUUGGACAAAAGGAAGAAAAUAUUGCCUAUUUGGGGACUUCAACGUGUCAAAACACAACAUCGAAGCAGGUCAACCAGCUAAAAGCCAUUGCACACACCUGCGGGGUGGGUCCUGUGCACAGGAGAGUCACUUCCUCUGCAGUCAGUUUGGUUUCAAGGUGCACACCCAAUACAGAAACACAGGGAAGCACUGCUUCAUAGACUAAGGAAUGUACACUGAUGGUUCCUUGAAACAAAGAUAACGCAGACAUCUCGGUGUCCCUGAGUGCCCAGUGGAAGUCCUGUUUCUCCGCCUGUGUGAGGGUGAGGGUGGCUUCUGGCUGGAGGGCCUUCCAGAGCCCUCCCUCCUCCCCAGGCCAGCAGAGGCCGGGGCACUGGCCAUGAGGGCAUCCAGCUCCAUCCAGCGUCCUGGCCCUUGGGGUGUCGUUGCCGAGCCGGGCUGCCCAGGAGCUGGUGACCCAGCCAACGUCACUCCCAGCCUGGGUCGGUUUGGUGCCCUCAGCACAGGCUUUUCUCUGGCGACCCCGCGUGGGCCCAGAACUGGCCAGAAGUGGCAGUGUUGUGUGCCCAGGGCAGCAGAAGGUGGCCUUCUCUGGAUGGUGGGCACCGUGGCACCCAUCUCCCCUGAGAGCUGGAGCUGGACAAGCCCUGAGCCCAGUGCCCUCAGACCCCUCUCCCUCCUGUGGCCACCUGGGCUCUGCGCGGCGCCGGGGUCCUUGUCCCUCAGCAUCUGGACGCUCAAGGGCAUCUCGCUGCUGCCCUCGCCCCUCCUCAGAGCCUUUCUCCUUGGGCUUCCUGGGGCCGGGAGUCUCCUGCCACCUUCCUGGCCUUGGCGGGUGACGCCUGCUCCCUCAUCCACCCCUUGACAGCACCUUCCCCAGGCUCCCCCUCCCCUCCAGGCCUCUUGUUCCCUCCCUCCCUCCCCUCCUCCUCACUCCGGCGAUAUAGGGCCGUUCUACAGACAGAAAAAUUGAGACACAAGAAACAGCGGCCGAGAUCCUAGUCAGGACUGUGAAGGCUGCGGCCGUGACUCUCAUGGGCUUUUCCCUCUGCUCGUGUGUCAGGACGGACGGUGUCCUGUGGUCACUCACGGCUGCAGGCUGCCUUCUCGACACAGGUCUUAGUUUUACAGAGCUUGGACUUGGAUUUCAGAUAAAACCGUCUUCCUCAGAGACACAGACAUUUGACAUCAAGUGUGUGACGCCGACAGCGUGCCGGCGAUCCACGCCACUGUCCUGGAGACGCAGGUUUAAGGGGCCCCUGGGGAUUUAAAGUCUCAUCAUCCAGGCAGCGCCUCCCUUAGCAGUGUCGCCUGUCCCACCUUCCUCGGCAGGAAGAUGGUUCUCCUCGGCGUGGAGCGCAGUCUGAGACGCUGCUCGUUUCAGGGGGCCUCUGAGCAAACCAAACCGCCUUAGAAACUCAGAGGCACAGCUCCUUCACGUGCUGGGCUUGCAGAGCAAGUGUUUGCAGAGGAAAGGCAUGUUCCUGAAGGAGGAGAUCGACGGUGAGGAGGGGACAGAGGCCAGGCCACAUCCUUCCUCACCUCGUUAGUGACAGAACAUGUACAUCUCAGAAGGAAGUAUUGUCACCCGGGAUAAAGAUGGCAUUUCCCAGCCUACCAGCCAGUUAGCUGUACUCAUGUGACUCAGUUUGGAGCCAGAUGGGACACAAGCACAAGAUUUGUGGGACUUCUGGGAAGCACCCUUAAGGAGAGGGUGCUUUCCUAGUGGCUGGAAGGUGAAUGUAAUGGCUGGAGCUACAGCAUCCAUCUUGGGCCAUGGAACAAUUUUCGGAGUGGAAGGCGUGCUACCAGAGCAACCAGAGAGACGGAGCCUGAGUUCCGGACCUCGUGGAGCGUGGACGGUGCCCCCAAACCUGGGGCUGCCACUGGCCUUCGUGACUGGGAAGAAGUGAGCUUCUAGCUUCAAGUUGUUGCCACUUUGGAUCUUUCUGCAACUUGCAAGUGAACUUAGUCCUGAUGAAAGAACAGGCCGCUAGGGAUGCUUGGACUGAAAAAGCAAAGCUCGGGAAGAUGUGGUUUUGAUCCUUUGAUGUCAGACUAGAUUUCGGCACUGGCCGCUGUGUACUGAGACUGCGGAGCCCUUUGAGGUCCCUCUGGCCGUCCCUGCCUCCUGCUUCCUCUCUCAGCCCCGAGCCGUCCUCGCCCCAGUUUCCGCAGGGCCCCUGGCCCAGCCCCCUCACCCCUUCUCACACUGCUUCACUCCCUGAAGCCCCUGCUGUCCCUUCAGGAGAGCCCCCCGCCCUCAGUGCUCUGACGCCCCGGGACUUCUUUAUUCAUUGCGAAGCCUGAGAACGUUGUAAGGCACCAGGAGACGUUUCUCAAAAGUGUCACCUUUGCUCUAAGCUCUGGGGACAUUUUGGUUGUAUCAUAUCAUUGUCUGAAUAAAAAGAGAGAAGAGA